This 45-nucleotide non-coding RNA is filed under the name Schistosoma mattheei. Lineage: Eukaryota; Metazoa; Platyhelminthes; Trematoda; Strigeidida; Schistosomatidae. The record is from RNAcentral.
AUCCAACUGAAGGAUCCUAAAUAGGAUGAAACAUGUGCCCUGGAU